This 304-nucleotide ribosomal RNA is filed under the name Vibrio parahaemolyticus. RNAcentral's name for it is "partial 23S ribosomal RNA". It matches the Rfam family "Bacterial large subunit ribosomal RNA", at positions 2259 to 2562 of the family's 2925-position model. The record is from RNAcentral. Lineage: Bacteria; Pseudomonadati; Pseudomonadota; Gammaproteobacteria; Vibrionales; Vibrionaceae.
UGGUGGGUAGUUUGACUGGGGCGGUCUCCUCCCAAAGAGUAACGGAGGAGCACGAAGGUGGGCUAAUCACGGUUGGACAUCGUGAGGUUAGUGCAAUGGCAUAAGCCCGCUUGACUGCGAGAAUGACAAUUCGAGCAGGUGCGAAAGCAGGUCAUAGUGAUCCGGUGGUUCUGAAUGGAAGGGCCAUCGCUCAACGGAUAAAAGGUACUCCGGGGAUAACAGGCUGAUACCGCCCAAGAGUUCAUAUCGACGGCGGUGUUUGGCACCUCGAUGUCGGCUCAUCACAUCCUGGGGCUGAAGUCGG